GAUGAACGCUGGCGGCGUGCCUAAUACAUGCAAGUCGAGCGAAAAGACGAGGUUCUUGCUCCUCUGACGUUAGCGGCGGACGGGUGAGUAACACGUGGAUAACCUACCUAUUAGCCUGGGCUAACUUCGGGAAACCGGAGCUAAUACCGGAUAAUAUAUUGAACCGCAGGGUUCAGUAGUGAAAGACGGUUUUGCUUUUAGUUAUAGGUGGAUCCGCGCCGCAUUAGCUAGUUGGUAAGGGAACGGUUUACCAAGGCAACGAUGCGGAGCCGACCUGAGAGGGUGAUCGUCCACACUGGAACUGAGACACGGUCCCGACUCCUACUGGAGGCAGCAGUAGGGAAUCUUCCUCAUGGGGCGAAAGCCUGACGGUGCAACGCCGCGGGAGUGAUGAAGGUCUUCGGAUCCGAAAGCUCUGUUAUUAGCGAAGGACAAAUGUGUAAGUAACUAUGCACGUCUUGACGGUACCUAAACAGAAAGCCACGGCUAACUACGUG
RNAcentral lists this ribosomal RNA (497 nucleotides) under uncultured bacterium. RNAcentral describes it as "partial 16S ribosomal RNA". It matches the Rfam family "Bacterial small subunit ribosomal RNA", at positions 28 to 507 of the family's 1533-position model. The record is from RNAcentral.